Molecule: long non-coding RNA, 2237 nt
Organism: Colias croceus (clouded yellow)
Lineage: Eukaryota; Metazoa; Arthropoda; Insecta; Lepidoptera; Pieridae
Exons: 2
Source: RefSeq, a predicted model, not a curated record
GUUUCGGCUUGUUAGGACGCAUUUCGUUACGUUGUUUCUUGGAGCUACAUAGUGCAAAAAAUUUUUCCAUUAAGAACUGCCCGUUAUUUGUCAUUAUUAUAUUAUAAUUAAUAAUAUAUUUUAAGAAAAAAAGCCACUCACGGGAGCAGAACGUGCAAAACGAUUCAGAGAGAAUCUUAAAAAGGAUCCCGAAAAAUAUAAUGCAUAUAAGAAAAAACAAAUAGAAAGAGUAAAAAAAUGCCAAAAAAAAAUUAAUAAAACCAAGUAGCGAAAAAGAGACGAUCACAGUACUGCUGGUUUUUUCGGCUGCUGGUGACUGUGGUUCCGAUGGUUGUAUUCCCGUACGUACGUCCACCUAAAGAGGUGAUUGAUAGCAUACCCCCAAACUGGUUCCUUGGGCGAUCUGAAUCCGGGUGGAUGUAAAGCGAUAUAUUUUUCGAAUAUGUAGCCAAUGGUGUCAACAACUGGUUAAUUGAAAAAGAGAUAAAAAGACCAGUUCUCCUUUUGGUAGAUGGACACAAAUCCCAUUUAACCAUGGCACUCAGUGAAUUUUGUGACAGUAAUGGCAUUAUACUAUAUGCCUUGCCUGCAAACACUACGCACAUUUUACAGCCAGCAGACGUGAGCGUAUUCCGGCUAUUAAAAGUGGAAUGGCGAAAAACCGUAAAAGAAUGGCAACGCAAGGAAGAAAACUUUAAUCGAUCUCUUACGAAAGCUACAUUUUGUCCUCUGUUGGAGCAAGUGUUAGAAAAAGAUAUGACACAAACCAUAAAAAAUGUUUUUAGAAAAUGUGGCCUUUAUCCUUUUAACCCAGAUGCCGUUGAUUUUACAAAAUGUAUCAUGAAUACAAUAGAAAAUUUUGAAAAAGAUUCUAUUGGGCAGGGUGAUAUAGACAUAACAAUAAAAGUUUUAGAAUACUUCAAAAAAUCAUUCUCAGAAAACUGAAUUGAUAUUAACCAAAUUAUCAACAUUAUAAAAGAAUCUGCUGUGAAUGAAAUAGAAAAUAUUAACGAUACAGUGUUAGACCAAAGAACUACUUUAAAUGAACUUGAUAUAAAUAUACCCACAACCUUACAAGGACACGCUCAAGCAAAUAUCACAGAUUGUAAUACAAUAGAAAAUCAUAUAGUCGACUCGGAAGGAAUUUUAUUAACAGAGCCCAAAAAAAAUGAUUUUUCUUUAAGUGAAAGCUUAUUAAAAAACAUAGCCGUAGCUAAUGAUUUCAGUUUUUCACUGCUGGAAAAUCCUACUCGCCCAACCUCUGCUGCAUCGUCAACAUCCACUUAAAGUUACCAAAUAAGAUCUGGAUCCAACACGCCGACCAAUAGAGGUGGUGUAUCGCCAUGUUUCAGAAAACACUUAUUUACACCUAAAAGCUUAAUUUUUUCGAAAAAACGAACAAAAGAAAAUCUUCCAUCUGCGAUUUCGGCACAGUCUUGGCGAGAUAUUAUGGAACAGAAAAAUAAAGCUAAACAAGAACUAGACAAAAAGAAACAAGAAAGACAAAAUAAACUUAAAUUACUGAGAGAAGAGAAGGCUAAAAAGAAAGAGGAAUUGAUUAGAAAAAGAGCUGUAGCAGCUGCCAAAACAGAGAAACAGAUCAAAAAAUCCAAGAAACAGAUGAAAGAACCACCUUCAGCAACACAAUCUCACAUCAAAUGUGUUGGGUGUGAAGAAGAUUUAAUCAGUGAUGUAGAAGAAGAUGACCUUAAGAAUAUAGGAUGUGACAAAUGCCCAAGAUGGUUUCACCUUAAAUGUACAGUUCACCGUGGUAGACUAUACUCAGAAGUUGCCAAAGAAGAUUUUAUAUGCCAUGUUUGCUAUGUGUAAUCAUUACCAGUAAUAAGAAAAACCAGUAUAUGUCCCUCUCCAUCCCAGUUUAUUAUCUUCAUUUUUACAGUCAUAUCCUUAACGUCUACUAUAAAUCACAAUCUUACUGAAAUAAUCUGUUGUUUAAAAAUAUUAGCAAUUGAUUAUAAAAGAUCGUUAAAAUGCUAUGAUUUCAUAAAGAUAAUAAAAGUACUAAAAGGCUGAUAUUCGGGGCAACCACCCUAUGCUAGACAAAUUGGUUUCUACGCUUUAUGCAUAAUGGAUACAAAAAGCAACCAACCAUAUUUUUAUACAUGGACUGAAGAACAGGCUGGAAAAGGUAGUUUAGAAGUCUCAUCAGCUUUAAUGCAACAUUUGGAAAAACAGGAUUUGUCAAACAUCAAAUUACUACGUUUAUUUAGCGAUGG